Molecule: long non-coding RNA, 330 nt
Organism: Dermacentor silvarum
Lineage: Eukaryota; Metazoa; Arthropoda; Arachnida; Ixodida; Ixodidae
Exons: 2
Source: RefSeq, a predicted model, not a curated record
ACCGUUCACAAUGAGGAACGUUUUGAACUUUUACAUUACGAUUGCCUUUGCUACGGUUGUGCUUAUUCAGUUGGCAUCGCAACGAGAUGGACCGGCCAUUUGCUCUUGCUGCGCCUCAGCACGUAAAAAUCGAAGCGAGAUCUGGCAGGUAUCCGCAGAAGCCUAUGGCUCCUCCUCCAUCAACAACUCGACAGACGACACGAAGUCCGAAUGUUUAUAAAGGUGGAAGAAGAUGUUGACAUUCAAGUGCUACAUUUGUUGGCGACGGAUGGAGCUCCGCAACUUUGAUUAUUUUUCUUUUCAACACUUCUGUCUGCAAUCAAAUAAAAA